GGUGAACGCUGGCGGUAGGCCUAACACAUGCAAGUCGAACGGCAGCACAGGAGAGCUUGCUCUCUGGGUGGCGAGUGGCGGACGGGUGAGGAAUACAUCGGAAUCUACUUUUUCGUGGGGGAUAACGUAGGGAAACUUACGCUAAUACCGCAUACGACCUACGGGUGAAAGCAGGGGACGUUCGGGCCUUGCGCGAUUGAAUGAGCCGAUGUCGGAUUAGCUAGUGGGCGGGGUAAAGGCCCACCAAGGCGACGAUCCGUAGCUGGUCUGAGGGGAUGAUCAGCCACACUGGAACUGAGACACGGUCCAGACUCCUACGGGAGGCAGCAGUGGGGAAUAUUGGACAAUGGGCGCAAGCCUGAUCCAGCCAUACCGCGUGGGUGAAGAAGGCCUUCGGGUUGUAAAGCCCUUUUGUUGGGAAAGAAAUCCAGCUGGCUAAUACCCGGUUGGGAUGACGGUACCCAAAGAAUAAGCACCGGCUAACUGCGUGCCAGCCGCCGCCGUAA
This 506-nucleotide ribosomal RNA is filed under the name uncultured bacterium. Its description in RNAcentral is "partial 16S ribosomal RNA". It matches the Rfam family "Bacterial small subunit ribosomal RNA", at positions 28 to 523 of the family's 1533-position model. The record is from RNAcentral.